GUUGUAUGGUUAAGUGACUAAGCGUACACGGUGGAUGCCUUGGCAGUCAGAGGCGAUGAAGGACGUAGUAACUUGCGAUAAGCGUAGAUUAGGCAGUAACAGCCACUUGAGUCUACGAUUUCCGAAUGGGGAAACCCACGUGCAUAAGCACGUAUCCUUACCUGAAUACAUAGGGUAAGGAGGCAAACCGGGGGAACUGAAACAUCUAAGUACCCCGAGGAGAAGAAAUCAACAGAGAUUCCGAAAGUAGCGGCGAGCGAAAUUGGACUAGCCCUUAAGCUUUUAAUGAUGCAGGUGAAGCCUCUGGAAAGUGGCGCAAUAAAGGGUGAUAGCCCCGUAACUGUUCCAUCAUUAUAAGUGAAAUCGAGUAAGGCGGGACACGUGUUAUCCUGUCUGAACAUGGGGGGACCAUCCUCCAAGGCUAAAUACUACUGACUGACCGAUAGUGAACCAGUACCGUGAGGGAAAGGCGAAAAGAACCCCUGUGAGGGGAGUGAAAUAGAACCUGAAACCGUGUACGUACAAGCAGUAGGAGCAGGCUUUGUCCUGUGACUGCGUACCUUUUGUAUAAUGGGUCAGCGACUUAUAUUCAGUGGCAAGGUUAACCAAAUAGGGGAGCCGUAGGGAAACCGAGUCUUAACUGGGCGUUCAGUCUCUGGAUAUAGACCCGAAACCGGGUGAUCUAGCCAUGGGCAGGUUGAAGGUUGAGUAACAUCAACUGGAGGACCGAACCGACUAAUGUUGAAAAAUUAGCGGAUGACUUGUGGCUAGGGGUGAAAGGCCAAUCAAACUCGGAGAUAGCUGGUUCUCCCCGAAAGCUAUUUAGGUAGCGCCUCGGACGAAUACUACUGGGGGUAGAGCACUGUUAAGGCUAGGGGGUCAUCCCGACUUACCAACCCUUUGCAAACUCCGAAUACCAGUAAGUACUAUCCGGGAGACACACGGCGGGUGCUAACGUCCGUCGUGAAGAGGGAAACAACCCAGACCGCCAGCUAAGGUCCCAAAGUAUUGCUAAGUGGGAAACGAUGUGGGAAGGCUCAGACAGCCAGGAUGUUGGCUUAGAAGCAGCCAUCAUUUAAAGAAAGCGUAAUAGCUCACUGGUCGAGUCGGCCUGCGCGGAAGAUGUAACGGGGCUAAGUAGUAAACCGAAGCUGCGGCAAUACAGUUUACUGUAUUGGGUAGGGGAGCGUUCUGUAAGCCGUUGAAGGUGUGUUGUAAAGCAUGCUGGAGGUAUCAGAAGUGCGAAUGCUGACAUGAGUAACGAUAAGGGGGGUGAAAAACCUCCCCGCCGGAAGACCAAGGGUUCCUGUCCAACGUUAAUCGGGGCAGGGUAAGUCGACCCCUAAGGCGAGGCUGAAAAGCGUAGUCGAUGGGAAACGGGUUAAUAUUCCCGUACUGCUUAUAAUUGCGAUGGGGGGACGGAGAAGGCUAGGUGGGCCAGGCGACGGUUGUCCUGGUUCAAGUGCGUAGGCUAAGAGACUAGGUAAAUCCGGUUUCUUGUUAGGCUGAGACACGACGUCGAGCUACUACGGUAGUGAAGUCAUUGAUGCCCUGCUUCCAGGAAAAGCCUCUAAGCUUCAGUUCAUAAGAAAUCGUACCCCAAACCGACACAGGUGGUCGGGUAGAGAAUACCAAGGCGCUUGAGAGAACUCGGGUGAAGGAACUAGGCAAAAUGGUACCGUAACUUCGGGAGAAGGUACGCUCUUGACGGUGAAGUCCCUUGCGGAUGGAGCUGACGAGAGUCGCAGAUACCAGGUGGCUGCAACUGUUUAUUAAAAACACAGCACUGUGCAAAAUCGCAAGAUGACGUAUACGGUGUGACGCCUGCCCGGUGCCGGAAGGUUAAUUGAUGGGGUUAGACUUAGGUCGAAGCUCUUGAUCGAAGCCCCGGUAAACGGCGGCCGUAACUAUAACGGUCCUAAGGUAGCGAAAUUCCUUGUCGGGUAAGUUCCGACCUGCACGAAUGGCGUAAUGAUGGCCACGCUGUCUCCA
This 1992-nucleotide ribosomal RNA is filed under the name Vibrio sp. A14(2019). RNAcentral describes it as "partial 23S ribosomal RNA". It matches the Rfam family "Bacterial large subunit ribosomal RNA", at positions 1 to 2024 of the family's 2925-position model. The record is from RNAcentral. Lineage: Bacteria; Pseudomonadati; Pseudomonadota; Gammaproteobacteria; Vibrionales; Vibrionaceae.